CAACGAUGAAGAACGCAGCGAAAUGCGAUACGUAGUGUGAAUUGCAGAAUUCCGCGAAUCAUCGAGUCUUUGAACGCAAGUUGCGCCCGAGGCUUGCCCUCGGGCAUUUCUGUCAGAGCGUCAC
RNAcentral lists this ribosomal RNA (124 nucleotides) under Schistidium apocarpum. RNAcentral describes it as "partial 5.8S ribosomal RNA". It matches the Rfam family "5.8S ribosomal RNA", at positions 31 to 154 of the family's 154-position model. From Rfam's summary of the family: 5.8S ribosomal RNA (5.8S rRNA) is a component of the large subunit of the eukaryotic ribosome. It is transcribed by RNA polymerase I as part of the 45S precursor that also contains 18S and 28S rRNA. Functionally, it is thought that 5.8S rRNA may be involved in ribosome translocation. Lineage: Eukaryota; Viridiplantae; Streptophyta; Bryopsida; Grimmiales; Grimmiaceae. The record is from RNAcentral.